Molecule: ribosomal RNA, 448 nt
Filed under: Staphylococcus aureus
Lineage: Bacteria; Bacillati; Bacillota; Bacilli; Caryophanales; Staphylococcaceae
Description: partial 23S ribosomal RNA
Rfam family: Bacterial large subunit ribosomal RNA
Source: RNAcentral
GCAGCCAUCAUUUAAAGAGUGCGUAAUAGCUCACUAGUCGAGUGACACUGCGCCGAAAAUGUACCGGGGCUAAACAUAUUACCGAAGCUGUGGAUUGUCCUUUGGACAAUGGUAGGAGAGCGUUCUAAGGGCGUUGAAGCAUGAUCGUAAGGACAUGUGGAGCGCUUAGAAGUGAGAAUGCCGGUGUGAGUAGCGAAAGACGGGUGAGAAUCCCGUCCACCGAUUGACUAAGGUUUCCAGAGGAAGGCUCGUCCGCUCUGGGUUAGUCGGGUCCUAAGCUGAGGCCGACAGGCGUAGGCGAUGGAUAACAGGUUGAUAUUCCUGUACCACCUAUAAUCGUUUUAAUCGAUGGGGGGACGCAGUAGGAUAGGCGAAGCGUGCGAUUGGAUUGCACGUCUAAGCAGUAAGGCUGAGUAUUAGGCAAAUCCGGUACUCGUUAAGGCUGAGC